Molecule: ribosomal RNA, 304 nt
Filed under: Alloscorpiops citadelle
Lineage: Eukaryota; Metazoa; Arthropoda; Arachnida; Scorpiones; Euscorpiidae
Description: partial small subunit ribosomal RNA
Source: RNAcentral
ACCUUAAAGAAUUUUGGCGGUGUUUUAAAUAGUUUGGAGGAACCUUGUUAUUUAAAUUGAUAUUCCACAGCAUAUCUUUCCUAAAUUGAGUUUGUAUAUCGUUGUUUAGGUAAUAUUUAAAGAUCAUUACCGAGUUUAAUUAAAUUUCUAAAAUCAAAUCAGGGUGCAGCAUAUUUAGGUUGUAAUGGGUUACAAUACAGGUUAUGUAUUAUGAAUAUAAAAUGAAAAUAUUAUUGAAAGUGGAUUCAAAAGUAAAUUAAAAUUAAAAAGUUUUUUUGAUUAAUAAUUUAAAACAUGCACACAU